This 468-nucleotide ribosomal RNA is filed under the name uncultured bacterium. RNAcentral describes it as "partial 16S ribosomal RNA". It matches the Rfam family "Bacterial small subunit ribosomal RNA", at positions 28 to 507 of the family's 1533-position model. The record is from RNAcentral.
GACGAACGCUGGCGGCGUGCUUAACACAUGCAAGUCGAACGGAAAGGCCCUGCUUUUGUGGGGUGCUCGAGUGGCGAACGGGUGAGUAACACGUGAGUAACCUGCCCUUGACUUUGGGAUAACUUCAGGAAACUGGGGCUAAUACCGGAUAGCAGCUCCUGCUGCAUGGUGGGGGUUGGAAAGUUUCGGCGGUUGGGGAUGGACUCGCGGCUUAUCAGCUUGUUGGUGGGGUAGUGGCUUACCAAGGCUUUGACGGGUAGCCGGCCUGAGAGGGUGACCGGCCACAUUGGGACUGAGAUACGGCCCAGACUCCUACGGGAGGCAGCAGUGGGGAAUAUUGCACAAUGGGCGGAAGCCUGAUGCAGCAACGCCGCGUGCGGGAUGACGGCCUCCGGGUUGUAAACCGCUUUCGCCUGUGACGAAGCGUGAGUGACGGUAAUGGGUAAAGAAGCACCGGCUAACUACGUG